Molecule: ribosomal RNA, 254 nt
Filed under: uncultured bacterium
Lineage: Bacteria
Description: partial 16S ribosomal RNA
Rfam family: Bacterial small subunit ribosomal RNA
Source: RNAcentral
UACGUAGGGAGCAAGCGUUGUCCGGAUUUAUUGGGCGUAAAGAGCUCGUAGGCGGUUCGGUAAGUCGGGUGUGAAAACUCCAGGCUCAACCUGGAGAUGCCACUCGAUACUGCUGUGACUUGAAUCUGGUAGGGGAGCACGGAAUUCCUGGUGUAGCGGUGAAAUGCACAGAUAUCAGGAGGAACACCGGUGGCGAAGGCGGUGCUCUGGGCCAGUAUUGACGCUGAGGAGCGAAAGCGUGGGGAGCGAACAGG